Molecule: microRNA precursor, 134 nt
Filed under: Olea europaea subsp. europaea
Lineage: Eukaryota; Viridiplantae; Streptophyta; Magnoliopsida; Lamiales; Oleaceae
Rfam family: MIR828 microRNA precursor family
Source: RNAcentral
AAUCUUUCUUGCUCAAAUGAGUAUUCCAACAGCAGCAAGCACUUGUGCAUUUCAAAACAUUAAUUUCUUCGCACAGAUUUGUGUUUUAUGAGAUGCUGGUGUUGGUGCUUCUGCGAUGCUCAUUUGGGCAAGCA